Molecule: ribosomal RNA, 553 nt
Filed under: uncultured bacterium
Lineage: Bacteria
Description: bacterial SSU rRNA
Rfam family: Bacterial small subunit ribosomal RNA
Source: RNAcentral
AGGCAGCAGCUAAGAAUAUUGGGCAAUGGAGGAAACUCUGAGCCAGGCAUGCCGCGUGAAUGAAGAAGGCCUUCGGGUUGUAAAGUUCUUUUAGUAGUGAAGAUGAUGACAGUAGCUACAGAAAAAGCCCCGCUAACUUCGUGCCAGCAAGCGCGGUAAUACGAAGGGUGCAAGCGUUGUUCGGAUUUACUGGGCGUAAAGCGUCUGCAGGUGGCUUGUUAAGUCAGGGGUGAAAUUCCGGGGCCCAACCCCGGAACUGCCUUUGAUACUGGCAAGCUGGAGCGUGAUAGAGGAAGAUGGAAUAUCUGGUGUAGGGGUGAAAUCCGUAGAUAUCAGAUGGAACACCAAUGGCGAAGGCAGUCUUCUGGAUCAUUGCUGACACUCAGAGACGAAAGCGUGGGGAGCAAACAGAAUUAGAUACUCUGGUAGUCCACGCCCUAAACGAUGCAUGCUUGUUGUUAGGUUCCUUCGGGGAUUUAGUGACGUAACUAACGCGUUAAGCAUGCCGCCUGGGGGGUACGAUCGCAAGAUUAAAACUCAAAGGAAUUGACGG